ACAUACUUCUUUAUAUGCCCAUAUGAACCUCACAAGCUAUGGAAUGUAAAGAAGUAUGUAU
This 61-nucleotide microRNA precursor is filed under the name Callorhinchus milii (elephant shark). RNAcentral's name for it is "Cmi-Mir-1-P3_pre stem-loop". It matches the Rfam family "mir-1 microRNA precursor family", at positions 10 to 70 of the family's 79-position model. Rfam says of the family: This family represents the microRNA (miRNA) mir-1 family. miRNAs are transcribed as ~70nt precursors (modelled here) and subsequently processed by the Dicer enzyme to give a ~22nt product. In this case the mature sequence comes from the 3' arm of the precursor. The record is from RNAcentral. Lineage: Eukaryota; Metazoa; Chordata; Chondrichthyes; Chimaeriformes; Callorhinchidae.